This 217-nucleotide ribosomal RNA is filed under the name uncultured bacterium. Its description in RNAcentral is "partial 16S ribosomal RNA". It matches the Rfam family "Bacterial small subunit ribosomal RNA", at positions 126 to 334 of the family's 1533-position model. The record is from RNAcentral.
CUACCCUCGGUGGGGAAUAACUCUUCGAAAGGAGAGCUAAUGCCGACAUGUGCAUCACUCUCGCAAGGGAGUGAUGGAAAGCCGUACCGUGGGUGCGGCGCCCAAGGAUGAGCUCACGUCCUAUCAGCUUGUUGGCGGGGUAACGGCCCACCAAGGCUGCGAUCAGUAACUGGUGUGAGAGCACGACCAGUCACACGGGCACUGAGACACGGGCCCG